This is a long non-coding RNA of Monopterus albus (swamp eel), 429 nucleotides long. RefSeq lists it as uncharacterized. Lineage: Eukaryota; Metazoa; Chordata; Actinopteri; Synbranchiformes; Synbranchidae. The transcript has 3 exons. The record is from RefSeq and is a predicted model, not a curated record.
AAGCCAAAAGAAAGGUUUCCGCCAUGUGGGACCAUUUUGAUCUCAUAUCGGAAAAUAAGGUUAAAUGUCGCAUUUGUUCGACAGAACUUUCCUACUUAAAUAAAUCCACCUCCUCAAUGCUGAGGCAUUAUAGGGCCAGGCAAUAUGUCAGAUAUUUAAAUAACAUUUACUGUAGGUAAACAUACGUAUUGGAUCAAAAUUGGUAUUGAUAAAUACUUAUUAUUAAAGGAAAAAAUGGAUUGGGACAACCCUAAUUUUUGGUCUUCAAAAUUUUACAUAACCUUGCACUUAGAGGAUUAUUUUUAUCUGCAGGGUCAACAGGAGCAUGGAGGAACAGCAGAACCUACUCAGGAAAGAGAAAGUCGGAUCUUCAGGGUGAAUCCAGCAAAUCACUGAGUAAACGACAACGCAACACUAUACAUGGAUCAU